CACUUUGACCAGGCUCCGCCCCUCCGCCCCUCCGCCCCUCCGCCCCUCCGCCCACUGCCUGCAGCUGAGUGCUGACCGCGUCUGUGAAGCCAGAGUGUGGCUUCUCCGAUACCGAUACCGGGCUCCUGGCGGAGAGAAGCCCGGGACCCAGGAGUGUGCGGCAACACUGUCCCAGGCGUCCGUCGGUGUCCACGGUUCACUCUCACGCCUCGGCCUCUCGCUAGUGAUCCUGGGCCAGACUCACCCCAGCGCAGGCGCACACGCAGGGUCCCCCGGGGUGCCUGUCGGAAUCUAGGAAGAAGGAGGUGUAGGAGGAGUGAGAAACUGCAGUGCAAACAAAAUAAAAGCUCAGAAGAAAAUGAAGGCGAACUGAAACACUGGUUGCUCAGAGAAGCUGCUCAACUCCUGUAUACAGUGUUUAGUUUUUUGUGAGCACGGACUUUGAAAGAUGCCCUUAGGAAAUGGUUUCUACCAUCAUCUUCAUUGUGCAUUUUGGGAGACUGGGGAGGCCCUGGAAACAAAGGCUUUCUCAGGACACAAAACUGAUGCUGGUGCAAGAGCCGUCAUCAUCAACACCUCCCACCACCUGGCAAGACACACACUCAGAACUCCAGCAAUGACAUCAUUGAGGAGCUGGUCCACGAGAGCCACUAUAAGGUCUACAGGGUCAAGGUACAGGUGUACAAGACUGACACCACCAUCAAGUGAUGGUCUCAGGGUGCAGCUGAGUACAGAUUCAAAUUGAGAGUAGCCUGCAGAAUGCGCACCCUCCUGGGAGGUGCACUGAAGAAGCUGGCAGAGUUCCUGACUCCAGCUGUUCUGGGUGGAAACAUCCCCUGCCUCUCCACCUUCAGGACUAUGCACUCAUCCUUCUCCAGAGACCCAAUGCUCUUGGAUGAUCUGCUAACUCGGUGAGCACAUGGCCCCUCUUCAGCACAGCUGUGAUUCUGCCCACUGCAAGCAGUGUACCACAUAAAUAUCACCCCAUCUCCCUGUGCCUCAGUUAGUUCCUUUGAAAUGUGGGAUCACAGAGGACAAACCUCAUAGUGUUCUCUCAGGGAUUACGGUGGGGACAAUCCAGGCAGGUCUUAGCUGGCACCUGGCCCUACAGACAUGGCUUCUGGAUGUGGUAGUUCAUGGAAAUUUUCAUUUUUUUUUCCACCAUGAAAAAUCUCCUGCCUGACCCAUGAUGGCCUGUGGCAUUUCUAAGCUUGGAAAAGCAAGUGGAAAACAAUCUGUCAAGGUGCUGGGGAAAGCACUUCACUGAUCUUUGCACUUGUCUUUGGCAUUGCCACAUUAGGAAUCUCUGGAUAUAGCAGGGUUCUCCAGGCCCACUCAAAUAUAUGGGAUGGUUCUGGUUGGACUUCCUUUUUUCGACUAGUACCUAGUACACCUAGGUACCUAGUACUGAGCACCUAGUACAAAUAGGCCUCACUAGGCGCACUUAGCAUAACUUAGUGAAUGAAGCAGACACAGUCCUAGGGCCUCGCUUCUACUCAAUGAAUCAGUCACUCACAAUAUAUCUUUUUCACAUCCUGUCCUGUAUCCAUUAGAUCUGAUACAAUCAGGAUCUUUAGGACACCUGAAGGCCUACUGCUAAUAAUAACAAUGGACACUCAUCGAGGGACCAACUAAAAAUGUGGGUGGUGUUUGGGUCCAGAAGGUAGACAUCGUGUGUUGAGAGCAUCCUGGUAGUAACCGGGAGGGUCUGGAACCAAUGAGAUUUUAUAGAUCUGACUCCCAAGGGAGUCCUGAGCUCUGGUGGAUUCUAUGGCAAGAGGACAGAAUUAAGAGAACUAUGGAGGGAGCCCCUGGACUCAAAUAACCAGAAGGAGGCUGGGAUGCAUAUGGCCCUAGGGUUCCAAAACCACCACAAUCCACUCCCACUUAGCCUGACCUUCCCCGAGUCAAGUCUCACCACCAUCCCCAGGCUCCAAACAGCAGAUGUAGUCAGAGCCUGCUCACCAAUCUACCUCAAACUUCAGUCUAGAUGAGCAUGUGCAUGAAGGGUUGGGGUAGGCAGGGUAUCGACCUUGAGAAGAAAUGUCCUUGGAAAGAAAAACUCACAGGCUCUCCAUCCUGACACUGCAGCAUUACCAAGCCUGCUCCUCCUGGGACAGCCGGACAGGGGUUAGGGUUGGCAUUGGGCUCGCUCCUGGUUGACCGUGGGCAUGCUCAGAGACCCUGUCCCAAACAAGUUUGUACUGGGAGGGCAGCAUAGGAGAAUUUCAGACUCUGACUGUGCUGCCCAACUGCCUCUCCCCAGGGCUAUUGCUUCUACAGGGGGAGCCUGGCCAGACCAGGUGCAGGAGUUCGACCAGCCCUUACAUUUGUCCUUGUUCCAUCUGAAGCAGGCCUUGGUGCAAGUCAGCUUCCCUACUUCACAGCAGCUGUGCGAGGUCCAACUUUUUUGGGUCAGUCUGGAAUAUCCAGAGCCCCAGGAUGCAACACCAGAAGGUGAGGGAACUGCAGUCUGGGAAGAUGACCCAGGAAGGGGAAGUUCAUUGGCAGGAGUUCCCUUAAAGGCAGGGGCACCUUUCCUGUCUCUGAAAAAAAAACAAGGAAAAAUAAGGUAUAUGUGUGGGAAUCUUUUUUUUUCUCCUGCUCCUCAAGAUCCUCUUCAAGAAUUUGAGAGCAAUGCACAUCCAUAGGUAGUAGAUGCUCAUUGGCUAGUGCCUGGUUCAGCUAGCUGUCUCACCCAGGCCUGGCCUGGAUUGGCCUGGGCUGAUGCAGUGCUUGGAACCAGGAUGGAGCCUUCUGUUGUGCUUUCUUUUUCUUGCCCUCUUAGGAAUUCUAAGCUAAACCUAAAUGAGAGGAACAUAACCCAACAAUAGAUUUAUAAUAGCAAAAAUGAUAAUUUUCAACA
This is a long non-coding RNA of Phyllostomus hastatus (greater spear-nosed bat), 2866 nucleotides long. RefSeq lists it as uncharacterized. The record is from RefSeq and is a predicted model, not a curated record. NCBI's taxonomy places the organism in Eukaryota, Metazoa, Chordata, Mammalia, Chiroptera, Phyllostomidae. The transcript is spliced from 6 exons.